Numida meleagris (helmeted guineafowl) is the source of this 836-nucleotide long non-coding RNA. RefSeq lists it as uncharacterized. NCBI's taxonomy places the organism in Eukaryota, Metazoa, Chordata, Aves, Galliformes, Numididae. The record is from RefSeq and is a predicted model, not a curated record. The transcript has 2 exons.
CCAACCUCAAUGAUCCUGUGAUUCUAUGACUCUGUGAUCACACUGCCCGGUCGCAGAGCACAAGCGUGGGCUCCGGGCACUGCGGUGGUGGGCCCUCAUGUCCGCUGCUCUCAGCUGCUCCCUUCCGGGCGCCCCCGCGAAAUGUCCCCAGGAGCCACCAGAGGGAGCUCCGCUGCUCCUCACCAGGUCACUCAGCACUCAGCGGCCAGGGCGCGAACCUUUAUGCAUAAACAAUACCUAAAACAAUAUGCGUAUGCUACAAAGACAUCUGCCACCGUUUCUCCAACUGUUAAAGUAAAGGCACCAGUACUCUUCCAUAUCCCUCUUUCUCUCCGUUGCUUUUGUUAAUCUCCUAUCAGCUUUCUACUCCUUCAGUCCUUACUUUGCCCAGAGGGAAAGCACUCUCCUUUGCCCUCCUCAGGGCUCAGCCCACGUAACCAUCUCAGUCGUGUCAGAAGUAAGCAAAGUCCUUCCUAAAGAAACCUGCAACUACGUUGGCACUUGAGUCAACACGGCAAGACAGGAUCAAGAUGACUUUUACUUUUCCCUACACAUAUCGUGCCCCCACAGCAUUUGAAAGGACCAACUGAGAGUCUAAAGCUGGCUCAGAUGAAAACUCAAGAAAUGAUGAGGAUGUUGUGCAUGUAAAGGCAAUGGAAAGGCAGCAGCCAACAUGUAGAAACUUCUGACUUGAUAUCAGUCUUCCACUGGUGGCUGUGGGAAGAGAACAGAGAAGAUAAGCCGGAAAUGACAGUGGUGUGUAUGGAUUAGAUAUUGUAUCAAAGUGUCAAAAAUAGGAGUGGAGAAAAUAAAAGUAAUCUUCCAUGUGCACAUUA